GGGUCCAUAGUUCAGUGGUAGAACAUUCGGCUGCAACCCGAUACGUCGCAGGUUCAAUCCCUGCUGGGCCCU
Nosema bombycis CQ1 is the source of this 72-nucleotide transfer RNA. It matches the Rfam family "tRNA". Rfam says of the family: Transfer RNA (tRNA) molecules are approximately 80 nucleotides in length. Their secondary structure includes four short double-helical elements and three loops (D, anti-codon, and T loops). The record is from Rfam. NCBI's taxonomy places the organism in Eukaryota, Fungi, Microsporidia, Nosematidae.